CACGUGUAGGCAAAUAGAGGAGAGAGAAAGAUGAUUCUGUUCUCUCUUUCUCUCGAAACCUCUCCAUCUUCUUCGUCUCCGAGAAGAUGAUUUUGUAUCUCUCUGUGGUUCUUCACGAAAUGCCGAUAACCCCUCUUUUCGUGGUUCUUCGAUGAAACGGAAUUCCUCUCUCUCGAUGACUGUCGUCGAGGAAGGAAAUCGCUGAUUAUCUCCAUCACCAUCUGGUCGAUCACGAGACGCUUCUUCUCGACUUCAACUGUUCGAUUGGCAAAUAAGAGUAAGCGAAAGGAGAAGAAGAGGAAGAAGAAGAAGAGGAAGGAGAAGGGUUGACUGAGGAGAUUGGAGGAGAUACGGAGGAGUUGAAAACGGCGUCGCAUAAGGAGCAUCGGUGAAUUCUGUAUUUGUUUGAGUAGACUUAUACAAACCAUUAACAUUUAAACUAUUUGUUUGAGUUCUGUAGGUAUGCUAGAUGCACUCGUUCUGUAUCCAUGGUGAAUUCUGUAGGAUUUGUUCAAUCUUGAGCAGCAGAUCGUCCAAGCUGAUUUGGACAACAGUUUUUCAAAAGUUACAGAAGCUCUCUAUUUUCAGAUAGUGAAGGUGUUGGAGUUCGUUGCAAAGAAAGAAAGUCUGCAACUGCCCCACAGUUUUACAGCAUUACAAGUACUCUUAGAUUUGCUAGAAAGUGAAAAUGAGGAGACAGAGAAACUUUGCAAAUUCACCUGCAAGUGGAAUAUGUCAAGGCUUAUGUCAACUGCUGUUUACAAUGACAGUAAAUCUCUUUAAUUACUGUCUAUUUCAUGGUCAGGUCUUUUGGCACAUAUACCUUAUCUUUGUAUGGAAGAACAAGUAUCAUGCAUUUAGGUUGCUUCUAAAGUCGUACGGGCAACGAUAUUAUUGUUUGGAACUUUGUAAAUUUUUUUUAUAACCUUUAAAUAAGA
Raphanus sativus (radish) is the source of this 938-nucleotide long non-coding RNA. RefSeq lists it as uncharacterized. NCBI's taxonomy places the organism in Eukaryota, Viridiplantae, Streptophyta, Magnoliopsida, Brassicales, Brassicaceae. The transcript has 3 exons. The record is from RefSeq and is a predicted model, not a curated record.